UAAAAGGGCCUUUGCUAUUUCGUAGUACGUGGGUUCUAAAUUGGAAUCUGCGCGGAAUCGCUAUCAAGAGAUUUCGGAGGUGUAAUUUUUGCUAUUUCGUGGCAGUUGGUGCUCGAUUGGCCCGACGCCCAG
Molecule: small nuclear RNA, 132 nt
Organism: Gigantopelta aegis
Lineage: Eukaryota; Metazoa; Mollusca; Gastropoda; Neomphalida; Peltospiridae
Product: U11 spliceosomal RNA
Exons: 1
Source: RefSeq, a predicted model, not a curated record